UACGAACCGUGCGAACGUUGUUCGGAAUCACUGGGCUUAAAGGGCGCGUAGGCGGGCUGUCAAGUCAGGGGUGAAAUCUUUCGGCUCAACCGGAAAACUGCCUUUGAUACUGACAGCCUUGAGGAAGGUAGGGGCAUGUGGAACUUCCGGUGGAGCGGUGAAAUGCGUAGAUAUCGGAAGGAACACCGGUGGCGAAAGCGACGUGCUGGACCUUUUCUGACGCUGAGGCGCGAAAGCCAGGGGAGCAAACGGG
RNAcentral lists this ribosomal RNA (253 nucleotides) under uncultured bacterium. Its description in RNAcentral is "partial 16S ribosomal RNA". It matches the Rfam family "Bacterial small subunit ribosomal RNA", at positions 524 to 776 of the family's 1533-position model. The record is from RNAcentral.